RNAcentral lists this ribosomal RNA (444 nucleotides) under uncultured bacterium. RNAcentral describes it as "bacterial SSU rRNA". It matches the Rfam family "Bacterial small subunit ribosomal RNA", at positions 29 to 521 of the family's 1533-position model. The record is from RNAcentral.
AACGAACGCUGGCGGCAGGCCUAACACAUGCAAGUCGAGCGCCCCGCAAGGGGAGCGGCGGACGGGUGAGUAACGCGUGGGAACGUACCCUUUGCUACGGAAUAGCCUCGGGAAACUGGGAGUAAUACCGUAUGUGCCCUUCGGGGGAAAGAUUUAUCGGCAAAGGAUCGGCCCGCGUUGGAUUAGGUAGUUGGUGGGGUAAUGGCCUACCAAGCCGACGAUCCAUAGCUGGUUUGAGAGGAUGAUCAGCCACACUGGGACUGAGACACGGCCCAGACUCCUACGGGAGGCAGCAGUGGGGAAUCUUAGACAAUGGGCGCAAGCCUGAUCUAGCCAUGCCGCGUGAGCGAUGAAGGCCUUAGGGUUGUAAAGCUCUUCAGUGGGGAAGAUAAUGACUGUACCCACAGAAGAAGCCCCGGCUAACUCCGUGCCAGCAGCCGCGGU